GGAGAGAUGGCUGAGCGGUUGAAGGCACGCGACUCGAAAUCGCGCAUCCUGAGAAAUCGGGAUCGGGGGUUCGAAUCCCCCUCUCUCCG
RNAcentral lists this transfer RNA (89 nucleotides) under Candidatus Cloacimonas sp. 4484_209. RNAcentral's name for it is "tRNA-Ser". It matches the Rfam family "tRNA". From Rfam's summary of the family: Transfer RNA (tRNA) molecules are approximately 80 nucleotides in length. Lineage: Bacteria; Pseudomonadati; Candidatus Cloacimonadota; Cloacimonadia (SeqCode); Cloacimonadales (SeqCode); Cloacimonadaceae (SeqCode). The record is from RNAcentral.